UGUAUUUUCAUUCAACAUGUUGAGAUUGUUGUACAAUAUUUUCAAAGUGUGCCAAACUAACGUCAUUGCUGCCGAAUAAGAACCCUCCAUUUCCCCCAAACUGUCAUUCAAAUAUAGGAAAAGCUUCUUUUAUUUUCAGUGUGAUUAUCUGCUGUUCAGGUUAGAAGAAUAGUUGAAUAAUUGUAGAAAUACAUUAAUGUCAGAAGAGAAAAUCUGUACCACUCAUGUAAUGCUAAAUAUGUAGCUAACAUUACGGCUAACAGGCAGUUAGCUUUUCAAACCUAGAGAACAGCUACCUAACUUCUCAUGAAACCACAGUUCAUUAUUCACUGCUUGGUUUUCAACAUUUCAGUUACUACGCUUCAGAAGUCCUGAUUGGUGGAUUUGAACUUUGGGCCAUUCAGGUUUAAUGUCAUCCUUGUUUUCAGUCAUUCUGCUAGUCUUAGCUAACUCCUAGCUCCAGGCGCCAGCGUCAUAUUUUGCAUUCAAAGACAAGAGUGGCAUCAGUGUUCUCGUCUCAUUCACAGCAAUAAAUUGAAUAACUUCUUUUUAGAUUUCUUUAAACAGUGGUGAUUUGGAAGAAGCCAUAGGGUAAAUGACAUCACAGACAUCAUGAUGGCUAACAGAGGAGCUAGCUAGAGUACUAGUGGCUAGAGGACCUGACUCAAGUACAAGAGAGUUCAAAAUUUGUUACACAUGAGUUACUUGCUUCAUUUCGUAGUCAAGAGUAAGGCUCACACUCUUUUAGUUCAUUGUGUUCCAACCUAAUAUACACAUUUGAACAUUUCCUUAUACCUUUCACCUAAGCUUGGAAUCAAACACAAAUUAUGACAGCUAGCUUGUAACUCGUGCCUUUAGUGGAAUAGUUGAUGACGACAUCCAAACCUCAGAUCUGUCUCGUUCCACCUCUUCUCCCAGCCAAAGUGGACAACAUUUAUAGAUCCUGUGUGGAUCUAUGUACAUGAAGCAAAUAGAUAUUUCAAAUGAAAUAGUGUAUUAUGUGCAUGUUUUUGAACUACAAACAUGGUCCUUUUGGACAAAUUGUAUAUGCUCUGUAAAUAAUCUUUAUUUUAUGGUACACUGACACUCAUUGCCUGUGAGUGGGUUGUUGGGGGAUUCUACCUGACAAGUCUUCUGCAAACCAGUGUUUGUUUUAGUAUAUAUAUAUAUAUCUAUAUAUAUAUAAAAAUAUAUAUAACGUGUAUUACACUUUUUUCUCUUGCUGUAUGACAGUGGAUAUUUUUUUUCCUUUAUUUGAUGCUUGUAUGUUUGUAGAAAAUUUGUUCCCUCUGUAUGCAUUUUGUUGUUUUAGUGGUGACUUCUCAAAUCAGGAUGUAUUAAUCAACAACCUACAUCUUAACACGGUUUCCCCAGAAGUCUCUGAAAUAUGGCAUCAAGUUUCUGAGACUCACUGGCUUCUGCUGACCAACACUGGGUUACAAAUUAAAGCCACAAGUAAGCAGCAUACAUGUGUUUUGGAACACACAGAUGUUAACAGAAACAAGAUGAGAUCACCCAAAAUAUUACGUGACCACACUACAGGAAGGUUCCUACAGAACGCCUUAAUCAUUUCACAGAAAAGCUGAACCUUUCAUGUCAGCUCGUUCUAAAGACCUACCAGGACAAUCGGACAGUUUUAGUUAAAACCUUACUGUGGCUUAUAACGUAUCUCGCUACUGUCAUUGAAAAAUCUUUUAAAACCCGGUCUUGGUGAGGCUUUAUUUCCAUGACGAUACUUGAAUAUAAGCUUUCCACAGCUUGAUAACGUCAACAGGCUUCACGACUGAAGGGUCUACUUGGCCCAUUCUCUAUGAAUGUUUAACAACGGAUUUGUUCUCACUUUAAAAGUCUAUAUCACUCUCUCUUAAUUCAGUUUAUGAAUGUUUUAUUGCAACUUCAUUAGCCUCCCACCAUAGGCAGUCCACAUAAGAGCUUCGUCUCUUCCUCGGGUUGGGAUUCAUCUCUUUAAAUGGCUCAUGUUACAAAGAAAGGCGAGAGGCAGCAGGUUUAUAUCAGUCCUCCUUACACUACACCUCAAUCCACUUUAGUAUCUCAGGUAUUUGAUCUAGAUGAAUUUUCCUCUCACUCAUGACUCGCUUCAUGUCUCUUCACCUCUUUUGCAUGAUUGAGCCAAGCUGUACAAUCCUGUUGUAUAUUGUGCUGGCCGAGGUGAGAAGCCUUCUUGUGGAUCUGUAAAGCCGACAAGUUUUCAGCUCAAUGCAGACAGUGUUUUGAAAGUAGAUGUACAGAACCACCAGCCUUAUUUUUCUAUGGACCCUCAGCCGUGGAGAAGCACUGCUUGUGUUUCUGCUGUUCACAGUGUCUCUGCUCCCUGUGGACCAGGCUGAACAUUCAGAUUUGUAAUUUUACUGAAACAAAGGGGAUGUUUUUUUGUAUCAGUGAUGCUGUUUCAUUAUGACGAACAAUAAAAAUGUGAAAUGAAAA
This is a long non-coding RNA of Amphiprion ocellaris (clown anemonefish), 2445 nucleotides long. The record is from Ensembl. Lineage: Eukaryota; Metazoa; Chordata; Actinopteri; Pomacentridae.